This 339-nucleotide long non-coding RNA is filed under the name Ananas comosus (pineapple). RNAcentral describes it as "long non-coding RNA (ACOM_LNC042731)". Lineage: Eukaryota; Viridiplantae; Streptophyta; Magnoliopsida; Poales; Bromeliaceae. The record is from RNAcentral.
UACCCCUUUUCUUUUGGGGCCUAGUGGUGCGAUGAGCUGAGGUCAGUAAUUGCCCACUGGGAACUAUAAAUUAUAGUUCUCACGCCCUCUUUUUCUCGAUGUUUUUCAGAGCCUUCCACGCCGGGUGAGGCCAGGGACCGAGGGAAGGGCAUUGCUUCCAGCUAGCUCUUCAGCGAGGGACGAGUUGUUAGGUGGUCCACCUCUCGAUGUAUUUCUUUUUGUGAGAGGUUGAGAGUUGUACCCGUAUAUGUAUAGAGACCACCAUUUUUGUUCUACUUAUGGUUAUCUUUGUUUGACUAGCUUUAUUUUCUUUACCUUGGUGUAGAUGAUAGAACUUUA